RNAcentral lists this long non-coding RNA (270 nucleotides) under Panax ginseng (ginseng). RNAcentral describes it as "long non-coding RNA (PGIN_LNC004147)". The record is from RNAcentral. Lineage: Eukaryota; Viridiplantae; Streptophyta; Magnoliopsida; Apiales; Araliaceae.
UGUAAUGCAAAUAUGAACUGUUGAGGAAUAUCUUUGGCCUGUAGUGCAAAGAUGAAUUGUUGAUGAAUAUCUUUGGGUCGUAGUGCAAAGAUGACCUGUUGUUGAAUAUCUUUGGCCUGUAGUGCAAAGAUGAACUGUUGAUGAAUAUCUUUGGCCCGUAGUGCAAAGAUAAAUUUAUUAGUAUGAUUAUGAACAGGAACUGUGAUUUGGUAUAACCAUGAUCUUUGAUGUUUCAGGUAAAGACAGGUGAUGAAAAUUAUCUUCGUCUUG